GACGAACGCUGGCGGCGUGCCUAAUACAUGCAAGUUGAGCGCUGAAGGUUGGUACUUGUACCAACUGGAUGAGCAGCGAACGGGUGAGUAACGCGUGGGGAAUCUGCCUUUGAGCGGGGGACAACAUUUGGAAACGAAUGCUAAUACCGCAUAAAAACUUUAAACACAAGUUUUAAGUUUGAAAGAUGCAAUUGCAUCACUCAAAGAUGAUCCCGCGUUGUAUUAGCUAGUUGGUGAGGUAAAGGCUCACCGAGGCGAUGAUACAUAGCCGACCUGAGAGGGUGAUCGGCCACAUUGGGACUGAGACACGCCCCAAACGCAUUCGGGAGGCAGCAGUAGGGAAUCUUCGGCAAGGGACGAAAGUCUGUCCGAGCAACGCCGAGUGAGGGAAGAAGGAUUUCGGAUCGUAAAACUCUGUUGGUAGAGAAGAACGUUGGUGAGAGUGGAAAGCUCAUCAAGUGACGGUAACUACUCAGAAAGGGACGGCUAACUACGUG
This 497-nucleotide ribosomal RNA is filed under the name uncultured bacterium. RNAcentral describes it as "partial 16S ribosomal RNA". It matches the Rfam family "Bacterial small subunit ribosomal RNA", at positions 28 to 507 of the family's 1533-position model. The record is from RNAcentral.